GACGGAGGGUGCUAGCGUUGUUCGGAAUGACUGGGCGUAAAGGGCGCGUAGGCGGCUUGGUCAGUCGGGUGUGAAAGCCCGGGGCUCAACCCCGGAACGGCAUCCGAUACGGCCAGGCUGGAGACCGGGAGAGGAGGGUGGAAUACCCAGUGUAGAGGUGAAAUUCGUAGAUAUUGGGUGGAACACCGGUGGCGAAAGCGGCUCUCUGGCCCGGAUCUGACGCUGAGGAGCGAAAGCGUGGGGAGCAAACAGG
This 253-nucleotide ribosomal RNA is filed under the name uncultured bacterium. Its description in RNAcentral is "partial 16S ribosomal RNA". It matches the Rfam family "Bacterial small subunit ribosomal RNA", at positions 524 to 776 of the family's 1533-position model. The record is from RNAcentral.